AGUGAACGCUGGCGGUAGGCCUAACACAUGCAAGUCGAACGGCAGCACAGUAAGAGCUUGCUCUUACGGGUGGCGAGUGGCGGACGGGUGAGGAAUACAUCGGAAUCUACUUUUUCGUGGGGGAUAAGGUAGGGGAACUUACUCUAAUACCGCAUACGACCUACGGUUGUAAGCAGUGGAUCUUCGGACCUUGCGCGAUUGAAUUAGCCGAUGCCGGUUUGGCUGGUGGGCGGGGUAAAGGCCCACCAAGGCGAGGAGCCGUAGAUGGUCUGAGAGGCUGGUCGGCCACACUGGAACUGAGACACGCUCCAGACUACUACGGGAGGCAGCAGUCGGGAAUAUUGGACAAUGGGGGGAAGCAUGAUCCAGCCAUACCGCGUGGGUGAAGACGGCCUUCGGGUUGUAAAGCCCUUUUGUUGGGAAAGAAAAGCAGCAGGUUAAUACCCCGCUGUUCUGACGGUACCCAAAGAAUAAGCACCGGCUAACUUCGUG
This 492-nucleotide ribosomal RNA is filed under the name uncultured bacterium. Its description in RNAcentral is "partial 16S ribosomal RNA". It matches the Rfam family "Bacterial small subunit ribosomal RNA", at positions 29 to 507 of the family's 1533-position model. The record is from RNAcentral.